Molecule: long non-coding RNA, 5380 nt
Organism: Leptidea sinapis
Lineage: Eukaryota; Metazoa; Arthropoda; Insecta; Lepidoptera; Pieridae
Exons: 2
Source: RefSeq, a predicted model, not a curated record
UUCCGUAAUUGGUUAAGAUAGUAUUUCUAAUCUGGGAUUAGUAUAUAAUUAUUGUGGCAAAACCAUCGCCUUAUGACGCGAAAAUAUUUCAUUAAAUCGAUGUUGUAAUUAUAUGUGUUAGAGACACUAUUUGCUUACCAAAUGUUUUUUCAAGGUAUACAUUUAAAAGAAUCAGUAUUUUCAUAUAAAAUAAAUUCUUUGCUACAUAAUUCGUCGAUGUGGGUUCCGUAAUUGGUUAAGGUACUAUUUCUAAUCUGGGAUGAGUAUAAAAUUAUUUUGGCAAAACCUUGUGACGCGAAAAUAUUUCAUUAAAUCGAUGUUGUUGUAUAAAACUUUGAAAGUAUCGAUUUAUAGGUGUAAUAUUUUGUUAUAAUAGAAAAUCAUUUAAAUUUUAUUAUUAAAUGAUUUGAUGUAUACUUAUUAAAUGUUUUCGAAUAAGACUUUGAUAGUUUGGAUUUAUAAGAUAAAUAUUUUCAUAUUAGUUUCCUAAAUAACAUUGGUUUUCUCAAUUUAAAUGUAACUUUUAAAUCAAUAGAUAUCUGUUUUUUAGAAUGUGUUGUGAUAUUAUUUGAUAUGAUGUAGGUUUCACCUUCUGUUAAGAUAGGUAAAUCAUUCACAAUCGGUUUAUUAUUUCUAUUGUUGCAAAACCAACGCCCUGUGUCCCAAUCAAAUUGCAUUAAAUCGUUUAGAUAUCUGCCUUUGUUUAUAUUUUUGAGUUAAACCUUUGAGUUUGAAUAAGAAUACGUAUUUUUCUAUAUAUAUAAAUUUUGUGUUAGAUUUGGCCCUAUGAUAUCUGAUAUGCUCUAUUUAUUUUAAAUGUUUAGUACAAUUAUUAAAUUGCUAUAAACUAAGAUAAGGAUUAUGUAGUAUCAAUGAUUCCCAUUUUAUUUCUAUUCUCUUCCGGUUAGUUCAAACAAUUCCGCAUCUAGUGUCAGUAUUAUGUAAGUUACGGGAGCGAUGAGAGUCGCUUCUAUAAUUUCAGAGCGGGUGCACACGCAGGGCAAUCAAAUGUAUCUUUUAAAUAAUUAACACGGUUUAACACCAUCACUUUCGGUGUCCUUGUAAACGUAAAGAACUGUUGUAUAAAUGUGUAGUGUAUAUUUCUCAUUGAAUCUAAAAUAAGGUAGGUAUAUAAACAAAUGAUUGCAGUAUUAUCGUGGUUUCUGUGAUUAAAAACUAUAUAAUAUCUACGUUUUCGUAUAUUAUUAUUAUUAUUAGAUUAAUAUACGAUAUUAUAGCUUCACUUAUAUCAUAACUCAAUGUAUAUCGACUAGACAAAUAUAUUUAGCACAAGAAUUAUAUAAUAUAUAUCAUUAGUACCUGGACGAUAUUUCAGAAGGUACAAAACUUGAACAAAAAAAAAACUAAUAGCACUUCUCUAGAUUCGAGGGGUCUUCUGCUUUCCGGAUCACCCAAUGAUCCCAUCUGAGCUAUUUAAGUCUUGUAUAAAGUGGCGAAAUUUACCUUUGUAUUCUAAUGCUAUUGUAGCAGUUUCUCAUUAAAACACGGAUAAAACUACAUUUUUUCAAACUAAAACCUAAACUACCUGUAUACUAAAUUUCAUUAAAAUCGUUGGAGCCGCUCCGAGAUUCAGAUUAUAUAUUUAUAUACAAGCAUUGCUCGUUUAAAGAUAAUAUAUUAUUAAUAGCAUUGUGUGUUCCAAUAUAAUAUCUAAUAUGAGUAUUUUCUUCAAACACUUACAUAUACUCGAGUAAUAUAUCUAAGUGAUAAUAGUUAAUCGAUGUCUGUUCGUCCUGUGAGAAGGCCUUUUCUUACUCCUUCCAAUUUAUUCUAGUCCAUAUUUUUCUACCUCAUCGUUUUAUUCUUAACAUGCGUCCUAUCUACUUACAUUUCUACUGUGGUGUUUUUUAAUUUGUUUAACAUUAUCACAUUUAUUUACUACUUGUUCGUUCCUUAUUCUAUCUCCUUAUUUUUUUUAUAAAUACUCCCAUAUAUCUAUUAACUAUUUUCCAAUGUAAGUACUUCUGUUCAAGUCAAGUCAAGUCUCUUUUUUGAUAUAAUAUUGGCUUGCUUUUCUUUUAAUAUUUCGUUAGAAUUCCAAUUGUUUCUCUUCCUAGCGUUUCUGAGCCGUUUUUCUAUAAUCUUAUAUCCUUUGGAGUUAUUUCGUAUUCUAGUUUAGACUUAGGCAUUGUAUGAUUUCAUUUUCUCAGCUGUUUAGCAGUUCUAUUAUUUAUCUGGUCUUCAGGCGUUUGCUGAAUCUCUCUUGAUGUUGGUGCGAAAAUUACCAAAAAAAUUUGUACCUUAACCUUAAUUGAUAACAUUGUCAUGCGUAUAUAAUAUAAAGUUAAUUAAUAAUCAUGUUACUUAUUGAAUAAUUGUAAGUUGCACAGAAUACUCUAAACUCAACCGGAUAAACCGGAUGUGUCCGGUCUUUUAGACUGUAGUCCAGAGUUUGGGUCUCUUUUCAUGUCCGUAUUUUAUUUUUAAUUAGAUGAAAUUUAGUAAUAAAACUACUUACUAACUAAUGUACUAUAAGUUUUUAGUCUUUAAGAGAAACGAAAUCUAAACGAGACCUGAAAAACGUCUCGACUUUUAUGGAAAUUUCACGACUUUUCAAAUUACUAAAUGGUAACCCUAGGUCUUAUAUUGCACUGUAAUGGGUAAGGCAUAUUACUUAAUAAUUUACGAUAAAAAUCUACAUUAAAUAUUGUAUUUUAGUAAACAUAGUCACAUAAACCUGAUUUACUAUUGGUAAAUCGUCAAAAAAUUAUUAAUUUACUAAAUUAUUUUCUUAAAAUGUCUUUUUAAUAUUAUUUCUUGUAGGUAACCUUAGCGACCAUUAUUAUAUUGACGUCUUAGAUUAUGGAUUGGUCUCCGCUCCAACUAGAGACUCAGGCGUAGUCGCAAAGUGCGACAGCUAAUACUACGCCCAAGUGGGCGUACUCGAACCAGUCUCCAAUAAUUUGUGACGUUGACGUGCCACAUGUUCUGUUAAACUUUUUUUAAUAAUUGAAACUUAAUUGCGUAGUAAAUCUUUUUAUUAAUAAUACUACAAGAAAUAAGAAAGACACGGGGUGUUAUCCCAUAUCAUCAAUAAAUUUUUUGUAUUUUAUUAAUUUCAAAUUAGUUACGUUAAGUUAUUAAUUACAUUUAUUUUCAUUUAUUAAGUUACAAAAUUUGAGAGAUGCCACGUACACAAGCAUCUUUACAAAUAGCCAAAACAUUACAAUAUAAAGUUGCCGUAAUAAAAUUGCUAUUGUUCUUAGGUAGUAGGUACGGUAUCUAGUUGGAGCGCAGCGGAGACCAAUCCUUAAACUAAUGACGUAUUAUUUUUUGUGAUAAACGUUAUUUUUUUUUAAUGUUAUUAUAAUUAUAUUGUAUUUAUAACAAUUAUGGCAUUAUUUAUUAUAGUAACACGAUGUAGAUUAACCUAUUUGAAUUCGUCAUGAUUCUGAUUUACCCUACAGUGUUGUUGGUCGUGCCAAUUCACGUAGAAAUAAUAUGUCUUCAUGUGAUUAUUAAGAAAAUACAUAAAUAUCCGGUCGAAUAUGCACACAGUAUCAUGAGAAUUGGUCAAGCCGUUUCGGAAGAGUUUGACUACAAACACCGCGACACGAGAAUUUUAUAUAUUAGAUAAUAAGUCGUUAGAAUACUUUAAGCUUAAAUAUUGUUGUUAAACCACAUUAUUUAAUCAAUGUUGGGUAUCCUAUUCCUAAUUUCUUUAUACCCAAUUUGAGUGAAAUCACCCCUAAACACUUACGUCGUACGUCAAAACUUUUAUAUAUAACCUUUUUUUGAUUUAUUAAGAAAUAAAUUCGAAUAAAUGUGCUAAGAAUUCGUUAGCUUAUCAAACAGGUGAUGAAUAUGUUAUGUCAUUGCAGACAAAAUAUCUUUAUACACAUAUAUAUAUAUAUAUAUAUUUCUUGUGUGCGUGUGUAUUUCACUGAAACUUUCUGUGUCUCUUCCAGUGGAUUCGAGGAUGGUUUAGAAGCACAUUUGCCUCCUAAACGGCUGGACCGAUUUUGAUGAUUUUUUUGUGUUCCAGUGAAUUUGAGAUUGGUGUGCCUUUAGUGGAUUCGAGAAUGGUUUAGAUUCUCAAUUCCGUGCACAUAAUAUAAUUCUCCUGCUUAUGUGUAUAUUAGUGAACUCCUCCUAAUGUCUGGACCGAUUUUUCAAAUUUAUAUUAUUUCACUAGUAAAAAUAUAUAUUGCUUUAUCAAUUUUAAGACAGUAAGGUUUAAUAUUAAGAAUUUUAUUAAUAGGAUUUAAGGAAUAAGCCCAUAAUAUUCAUUUAUUAUUCCAUGCUAUAUUUAAGCUAUUAUGUUAAUAAUCAUUAAUAUAAAACAAUUUAUUUACUUCCAUUCCAAUAAUAAAGACGACAUUGUACCUUCAAAUAAGUAAAACUUUAGUAUGGAUGGAUUAAUGUAUGGUAACAUAAGAAUUACUAAUUUACUAGCUGGCUCGACAGACGUUGUUCUGUACAUAAUAAAUAAAAUACUGUUUUUUUAUGAAUUGUUUUUUUGUUCAAGAAUAUUUUCGUAAAAUAUGCUCCCUGUUGUUAUAAUGAAAUUGUUUCACGGCAGAACUGUCACACCGUGCGUCAAUAAAUUCUCUCAUAGAAAAUAUGUCCAAACAAAACAAAUAUUGAAAAUAAAAAUAAUGAUAGGUCCCAAAUCGAAAUAAAAACUAUCCUAUCUCUCAAGUUGGACUAAACUUCACUCCAUGAAGUAAUCCCCAUGAAAAUCCGUUCAUUAGUCUAGGAGUUCAUCGCGGACAAACAACGUGUCACGUAAUUUAUAUAUAUAUUAAGAUGUAAACGUGAAAAAACUUCAAUGAUGCAUAUCUGUCUUGUAAUUUAUGUUUUUUUCUCCCUUGUCUUAUGUAAAUCAUUCCGAUAGAUUUUAAUUCAUGUGACAUAAUGCUAAAUGUAAUCUACUAAUUACUAAUCUAUUAACCUAGGCCAUAUGAUAAUAAUAAUUUUGUAGUUGUAUUAUGUACUUACCUGUUUCAUUGUUAAGAAACAUAUAUGGAAAUUACCAAGUUAUAUAUAUUUUCUGAUAUCUUUAUUUGACUUACUCGUGUAAGUCAAAUAAAGAUAUCAGAAAAACAAUGAAAAUGUAAAUCUUGAUUUAAAAGAGUGGCAAUGAGUUUCUUGCUACUUCUUCUCAUUAGCUCAACCCUUUACGAAGUAGCGGUAAAUUCAAUAAGAAACAAUAUUUUUAUUUUAUUUUUUGACAUUCGUAAGUGUCAUUUCCGUGACCUACGUGAAUAAAGUGUUUUUGAAUUUAAAUUUGAUAUGAAUUACUUGCCAACCACUUACCAUAAGUUUAUUGUAUAAUCUAUGUGUCUAAAAUUUAGUUACGGAAUCCAUUGUCAUUAGUAUCAGUAGCCCGAUAAAAUAAAGUGUCUAAAUAUGAAAA